This 253-nucleotide ribosomal RNA is filed under the name uncultured bacterium. RNAcentral's name for it is "partial 16S ribosomal RNA". It matches the Rfam family "Bacterial small subunit ribosomal RNA", at positions 524 to 776 of the family's 1533-position model. The record is from RNAcentral.
UACGGAGGGUGCGAGCGUUGUCCGGAAUCACUGGGCGUAAAGGGCGCGUAGGCGGCCUGAUAAGUAGGGGGUGAAAUCCUGCGGCUUAACCGCAGGGCUGCCUUCUAAACUGUCAGGCUCGAGCACAGUAGAGGCAGGUGGAAUUCCCGGUGUAGUGGUGAAAUGCGUAGAUAUCGGGAGGAACACCAGUGGCGAAGGCGGCUUCCUGGCCUGUUCUUGACGCUGAGGCGCGAAAGCUAGGGGAGCAAACGGG